Molecule: ribosomal RNA, 496 nt
Filed under: Russula blumiana
Lineage: Eukaryota; Fungi; Basidiomycota; Agaricomycetes; Russulales; Russulaceae
Description: partial 12S ribosomal RNA
Rfam family: Bacterial small subunit ribosomal RNA
Source: RNAcentral
UAACAUAAGGGAAAAUAAUGAUAUUACCUUAUUAUUAGUGUCGUCCAAAACUGGUGCCAGAAGACUCGGUAAGGCCAGAGACACAAACGUUAAUCGUCUUAAUCAGGCGUAAAGGGUUUGUAGGCGGCUUUAAAAUUUACUUAUAAUAAAAAAACAAAACAAAAAUAAUAAGUAAAAAAUAAAAGCUAGAAUCAAAUAGAGGAUAUAUGAAAGAAUGCUUAGAGUAGGUCUGAUAUCCUUAGAUACUAAGUAGAAUAUUAAAGGCGAAAGCUUUUUUCCAUUAAUGAUUGACGCUCAGAAACGAAGGUGAGGAUAGGAAAUAGGAUUAGAUACCCAGAUACCCCUCUCUGUCAACGAUGAAUGGUAGUUAUUAGUAAAAAUUUUAUUAAUGGCAAUGUUAACACGAUAACCAUUCCGCCUUGUGAGUACAAUUGCAAAGUUGAAAACAAAAAAAUUAGUCGGUUUCGGAGCAAACGAAGUGAAGCAUGUUAUUUAA